GGUACACGCUGUGACUAGCAUAUCAAUAAGCGGAGGAAAAGAAACUAACAAGGAUUCCCCUAGUAACGGCGAGUGAAGCGGGAAGAGCUCAAAUUUGAAAUCUUAAAGGGUUUCCCUUUACGAAUUGUAGUUUAAAGAAGUGUUUUCUGUUGAGGUUUUGGUAAAAGUUCUUUGGAAUAGGACAUCAUAGAGGGUGAGAAUCCCGUAUUUGACCCUUACUUUCAACUUUGUGAUACACUUUCAAAGAGUCGGAUUGUUUGGGAAUGCAGUCCAAAAUGGGUGGUAAAUUUCAUCUAAAGCUAAAUAUUGGUGAGAGACCGAUAGCGAACAAGUACCGUGAGGGAAAGAUGAAAAAGAACUUUGAAAAGAGAGUUAAACAGUACGUGAAAUUGUCAAAAGGGAAGCGUUUGACACCAGUGUUGUUUUUCUGAAAAUCAAUUAAAGAACUGUUUAUGCUAAGUUGUUUAGACUUUAUCAGCUAACUGUUUAAUUUUGAGCUUUUCUUUAAUGCACUUUUCAGUUAACAAGUCAACAUCAAUUUCUUUUGCUGUAAAAAAGCUUGAGGAAGGUGGCUUGAGAUUCGUCUUAAGUGUUUAUAGCCUCUUGCCUAUGCAGUCGGAGAGAUUGAGGUCUGCAGCGUAGAUCCUUCGGGGCUAAAUGCAUUUGUGCUAAGUUAUAGCAUUUUAUAGACAACUUGUUGACUAUGAUUUGUCUUGUAGCUUACUCGCUUAUGUUAUUUUACCUACGCUUAGGAUGUUGAAGAUGUAGCACAUCAU
Molecule: ribosomal RNA, 776 nt
Filed under: uncultured Neocallimastigales
Lineage: Eukaryota; Fungi; Neocallimastigomycota; Neocallimastigomycetes; Neocallimastigales
Description: partial large subunit ribosomal RNA
Rfam family: Eukaryotic large subunit ribosomal RNA
Source: RNAcentral